This 400-nucleotide ribosomal RNA is filed under the name uncultured bacterium. RNAcentral's name for it is "bacterial SSU rRNA". It matches the Rfam family "Bacterial small subunit ribosomal RNA", at positions 30 to 430 of the family's 1533-position model. The record is from RNAcentral.
AUUGAACGCUGGCGGCAUGCCUUACACAUGCAAGUCGAACGGCAGCACGGGAGCAAUCCUGGUGGCGAGUGGCGAACGGGUGAGUAAUAUAUCGGAACGUGCCCAGUCGUGGGGAUAACGUAGCGAAAGCUACGCUAAUACCGCAUACGAUCUAUGGAUGAAAGCGGGGGAUCGCAAGACCUCGCGCGAUUGGAGCGGCCGAUAUCAGAUUAGGUAGUUGGUGAGGUAAAGGCUCACCAAGCCGACGAUCUGUAGCUGGUCUGAGAGGACGACCAGCCACACUGGGACUGAGACACGGCCCAGACUCCUACGGGAGGCAGCAGUGGGGAAUUUUUGGACAAAUGGGCGCAAGCCUGAUCCAGCAAUGCCGCGUGCAGGAUGAAGGCCUUCGGUUGUAAAC